CCCCGCCCUUACGGCGGGAACCGGCGCCCGGGAACCCCUCCUCCCGGCAAGUGACUUCCCGGGAGGUGUCCAAACGGGAAUAUUCUCCGAAGCCCCGCUAGCCCUUCCGGGCUGGUAGCUUGCUGGGCAGCCUGCAGUUGCCGCCCCGGACGAGACCCUUCCGAGAACUCGCCGACGCAACCCACGCGUCGCGCAACGGUGGUACCCCGGGUGCCACUGGUGCGACACCAUGGAGAUACCAGUCUCGGUGAUCUUAUCUUAUGAUAUCCAUCAUAUUUCAGUAGGGAAAGCUUAGAUUCCAACCUGCGAUACCGGAUACUUGAAAUUCGAUCUAUCGGGAAAAUGGUUCACUUCUCAUUCAAUCUCUUUUCAUCCGGGAAGGGGAAUCUUGGUUCCUCCAUUCUUCUCUCAUUAAUUCAUGCUUCAUUUUUUCUUUCUAGGAAUGCUCUGUUUCACCUCUCUUUAUGGAGGCUUCUUCUUGUGCUUAUUAUUCAGACAGGAAGAAUCUUAUGAUGAUUAAACCCUCAUUGCUCUCUUUGACAUAAAUAAGCAUGGGAAUUUUGGUCAUGCAGCUGGCAAUAACAUAAUUCGGAUGAUUUAUUUGCUCUUAUUUAGGACAGUAAACUGAGCCCCUUGCAGAUUCUCACCCCUCCAACAUUCGGGACCGUGGGAUCAUGAAUGUCUUAUAGCUGCAGUAGCAUCAAGGAAUUGUUGGCUUUCAAUUUUGGCUUGAUGCAAUUGUGUGCAUGCUUUAGCAUUAAACUAUUAAUUCCAGUUAGACAAAACUACUCGUAUAACUUGGAAUACGUACAUUACUAAUUUUCUUUACUCCAUCCAAGUUUAACUUUUAUCCUUCGUGUUUCCAAAUAUUUGUAUCCUUCCAACAAUUCUAUUGUCGAAACUGACGGGCGCAGCAGCGCUCACCAUCCUGAUCUAGUCAAAUUAAUAAGAUCGUACUAUUCAGAUUUAGAUGUAGGAGUCGAUGACUAUUUUUUUCGUCAAAUAUGCAAAAAUAUAUUUUAUGGUCACACUUAUGGUCAUGUAUUAUCAAUUUAUAAUGGAGGAAAGAAAUCAUCCUCGUGGAUGCAUAUGGAUCAUGGGAAAUUUGUCUAGGAUUUUACUUUUUUUUUACUAAUAGUAAAAGUAAAUACUACCUUUUUGAUCUCCUAGCACUGAUAGAUUUAAUUCCUUAGAUGUGCUAAAUGGAGGGCUUCUAUUCAUUCGUCCCUACCGUAAAAGGUCUCUUGGUUGCAUAGAAAGUAUUUUUUUACGAAAACGACAAGGCCCGUUCACUUAAUUAAGAGUUGGGAUAUAGUACAGAGUUAAGUCCACCAACCUAAACAGUUUCGUAAACGGUUUUGCUGACGUGGCGACUGACAAACGCUAUGCUGUCAUUUUUUGUGCGGAAAUCAAUUGUUUAGGCAAGAAAACCCCUCGAUUCCCCUUCCCUCUGUUUAAAAUUGGGUGCUAUUUACUGAGCGCAACAAGUCUGAAAUCCUCAUCUCUAAGCGCUCCAACUCUUCGAUUCUUUGUCUUCCCGAGCAUUCAUUCCCGACUCCAACUCCUCCUCCUCCGCGCACUUUCUCUGCUCUGCCGCCUCCCCCUUCGCAUCCCUAUCCUUUCCUCUCGCCCUCUGGUCGCCGCUGCCGUUAUUUCUUCGCAUGCACCGGAGCUUAACUCCCGCAGCGUAGCUCUAUGCCUCUAUCUCCAGUUCCUUCGCGUCCUCAAAUCCUCACACGCCGACGCCUGUCCUCCCGACCCCCGUUGCCGCCGGCUUCCAUUGCAUGAUUGCAUCGGCUGCGCCAGCGUUGAAAACGGCCAGCAUCCGCCACCUGCCCCCUGCCUCCUAGCGCGAGCCGCCAUCGCGUUGGCGCCACCGUGCGGCAGCUGCUCACGGAUCUGGAGAAGGUCGAUGAGGUCAGUACGCCCACGCUCUGUUCCCCGCGCCCCCUCUGCGUCUUUGAAUAUAUGUGCCAAUUUAGUGAAUUCGGAUGGACGAUGUGGCUCAUUUUGAAGGAGUGCACGGAUGAUAUCUAUCUAUGAAUGGAGAUAUGGAAAUUUGCUUGUUUUUCUUUACCAUAUGAAUCAAGUGCGAAGAUUUAACAGUGAACUAGCUACUAUUGCCUGAGAAUGAAAAUCCAAACAGGAGCAGAUUGUUUAGCUGUGGACUUCCCAGCCAAGUUUACUUGUUUCUGCGGUGAUGUUGUGUCUACUUCUCAACUCAAGAGAUCAUAUCCAAUCGAGAGUAUACUAUCUCAUGGUGUUAUCAUUGUUGUUGUGGCAACAUAAUUUGUGUCAUGGUUCAAUGGAGGGGAGGUUUGUCCAAUUGUAUUGUACAGCAAAUUUAUUCCUUUUUCGUACCCAACUGCGGAUCGAUGAAUUUAAAGGAUUAUGGCUCUUCCACCCAUCCAUUGGAGUAGAAUCAUGUAUGCAGUGCCAAUGUGUCUCCAAACGGGAUCACUGUUUUGCAGCUCAUUCAUUGAAUUAAGCAAAAUCUCUGGCUUGUUGGCAGCUACUUUUUUUUUGUUGUAUUUCAAUUUUGCGUGCAAACUUUUCUUACUUCAGGAGUUGCAAUAUUGAAACUCGAUCGGUUGUUGAAUUCUUGGCCAAGUCAAAAUAUAUCAAACUGUGUUGACUUCAAGGAGACUGCCGAUACUAUUGCUAAGUUUUUUUUUUGUUAAACUUACUAUUCUUUGGUUCAAAUUAGCAUACUACAUAUACAUCCCAUAGUUUGUGGAGAGAAUUCCAUAUUUGCCAUCCAAAAUUUGCUCACAUGUUCAAAUGUCACUCAAAAUUUCCUACUUCCAUAUUUACAUCGAGAUUUUGCACCAUGUACAAAUUAGCCACUACAGUUAGUUUUCUGUUAGUUGACCACGUGGAAGACCUGAAAAAUUGUCAGUUUUUUCCAUACUGACAAGUAUACCCCUGGAUCUAUGUGUUACAAGAAAAGAAAAAAAGGACGCGACUAACGCGCGGCCGUACUACCUUUUUCAUCUGUCGCGCGACCGAAGCUGGCGUGAACGUACGCGCGAACGCGAGAUCGGCCGACUGUGUGCGCGUAUGCUUCUUUUGUGCGGCACGAGCGGAAGCCAGCCAAUUUGGUCCAUAACCAGCCUAGCCGAGCGGGAGCGCGGGAGCGCGUGAGCGCGAGACGAAUCGGGCCACCGGCCCAGAAACAGCCUGGCCCAACCCAGUAUGAAACUCAUCCUUCUAGAUGAAACUUGAUAUGCUAAAAUUUCUAAAAUUGCCAUCCUCUUGACAUGAACUACGUAACGUGGAACUCAUCUUGUAGGUUGAAGUGUUGACAUGCUAAAACAUAGAGUCAAAUUACCAGGCCUAUUAUUAUGAAACUACUUGUGAGACAUUUAUCCCCUCUAGAUUGAACCUGACAUGCUAAGUAGACUGGAAUUAUCGGGCAUACUGUUUAGAAGUUGCCAUGCUAAAUAGACUGAAACUAUCAGGCUUGCUGUUCUAAAGUUUCCAUGCUAAAAUAAACUGAAAUUAUCAAGCGUACUAUUCAAAAAAUGACUAGAAUUAUCAAGUAUGCUAUUAUGAAACUACUUGUGAGACAUUCAUCCCUUAUAGAUUUGAAGCUGUCAUGCUCAUAAACUGAAAUUAUCAGGCCUACUAUUAUGCAGUUGUCAUGCUAAACAGAUUGGAAUUAUCAGGUCUAUUAUUCUGAAAUUACAAGUGAGACACACUCAUCCCUUAUAGAUUUGAAGUUGCCAUGCUAAAUAGACUACAAUUAUUGGGCUUACUAUUCCGAAUUUGCCAUGCUAAAUAGACAGAAAAUACCAGAUGUACUAUUCUGAAACUACGAGUGAGACAUUCAUCACUUCUAGAUUUGAAGUUGUCAUGCCGACUAGACAGAAAUUACCAGGCCUGUUAUUCUGAAGUUGCCAUACUAAACAUACUAGAAUUACCCAGGUCUAUGAUUCUGAAAGUGCCAGUGAGACACAUUCAUUCCUUGUAGAAUUGAAGUUGCCAUGCAAAAUAGACCGGAAUUACUGGUCUUAUUCUGAAUUUGACAUGCUAAAUAGACAGGAUAUACCAGACCUACUAUUGUGAAACUACGAGUGAGACAUUUAUCCCUUCUAGAUGUGAAGUUGUAAUGCUGAUUAGACAUAACUUACCAAGCGUACUAUUUUGAAGUUGCCAUGCUAAACAGACUAGAAUUAUCAGACCUAUCAUUAUGAAACUGCCAGUGAGACACAUUCACCCUUCUAGAUUUUAAGUUGUCAUGCAAAAAAGACUAAAAUCACUAGGCCUACAAUUCUGAAGUUGGCAUGCUAAAUAGAUUGGAAUUACCAGGCCUAGUAUUAAUUCUAAAGUUGACAUGCUAAAUAGACUGUAAUUAUCAGGCAAACUAUUUUGAAACUACCAGUGAGGCAUUUAUCCCUUCUAGAUUUGAAAACUUGAUGUGCUAAAUAGAUUGAAUUACCGGGCCUACUAUUCUAAAACUAUCAUCAUUACAAACCAUGCCAUUCAUGUAGAAAUACACUACACGUAGAAUUUUUUUACGCAACUUACAAUUUUCCUCGGACAAAAAUAGGCAUCGCAUUACAAAUAGCGGUACUAAUCACAAACGAAGUUGUCAUAGAAUCUUCGGAAAUUACAGUUUCUGUGGUAAAAAAAACACGAAAACAAUUAGUCUUGACUGAAGUAACCAUGCUAAUAUACAUAAACUUGCUAGUGAAAUCUAACCGAAAUUGCCAUGAUAUGUACAUGCUAAGUAGGCGUGAAAUAUAAAAUAAGUUAGCAUUCCAUCAAGUUACCAAUGCAUUGUGAUUGAAACUACCAUGUUAUACAAGUCAAGUUGCUAACCAUGGACCAAAUUUUUUACCAGUGAGACACUCAUCUAUUCUAGAUUGAAGUUGCCAUGCUAAAUAGACCAAAAUUACUAGAACUACCGUUCUGAAACUACCACUGAGACAUUUGGCCAUUCUAGAUUGAAGUUGCCAUGCUAAACAUACUAGAAUUACCAGACCUACUAUUAUGAAACUACCGGCAAGAAAUGAAGUUGCGACUUUUUGAAACACAAAGUUACCAUGCUAUGAAAUAAAACGUUGCCACCAUAUCAAACACAAAGUUGCCGUGACGUGCAUUAGAAACCUACCAUUCCUUAAGGUUGCAGUUGAUCCAAAAAUGAAGUUACCACAUGACAAUCACAAAACUAUCAGGCAUGAAGUAGUAAACUUGCCACGUGACAAAUGCGCUAGGAAGCUACCAUUCUUCAAGGUUGUCGUGCAUCCAAAACUGAAGAUACCACAUGGCAAACACAAAACUACCAAGCAUGAAGCAGAAAAGUUGCCACAUGACAAAUGCACAAAUAAGUUGCAUUUCUCAAAGGUUGGGGUGCAUCCAAAAAUGAAAUUACCAUAUGGCAAACACAAAAACUAACUGACAUGAAGUAGCAAAGUUACCACGUAACUAAUGCACUAGGAAACUUUCAUUCUUUAAGGUUGUUGUGCAUCCAAAAAUGAAGUUAUCACAUGACAAAUAUGAAACUACCAGAUGGAGCACCAAAGUUAUCACAUGACAAAUCCACUAGGAUGCUGCCAUUUUUCGAGAGUUGCCGUGAAUGACCCGACUACUACCACAUUAUACAAAAAUGACCCGACUAAAUUACAGCCAACAUCAACAAUAUUUAGCUUGAGAACAUGCACAUUUUUAAAUUGGAAUGCUCAUAGUACUGGCAAUGGCAAUAGCAGAUUAGUACCAAAUUUGAAUUUGUAAUGUACCAUAAGCAUACAUAAGCAUAUGUAUUCAGAAAUAACCUAAUACACACAACCUAAAUUACCAGGUUACUGUUUCAGAAGUUGAACACCUCAUUACACAGGAAUAACCUAAGUUGAACACCUAAUUACAGGAAUAACCUACACAACGAACCUAAAUUGCCAGCUUAAUGAUACACAAUUAACUACCUAAUUACACAGGAACGCAACAAAGCCUGCAAAAAAUAAUUACCUAAUUUCCUUCCUGUUACCGAAGUUGAACAACGACUAAACAAAUGGGUUUGGUUCCCCCUAAAAUCCAAAUGGUGACCAAACAAUGGAUUGUGAAUUCGACCCAAUAAAAAAACACCAAAAUACCCAGAGAGGAAUUACCACCCCAAAAUCGCACGGUUUGCCGGACCUAUCAGGCCAACACUAAUAAGGGUCAGAAAUCACCAGGAAAAUAAGCCCGCAGUGCUAACUGGGCUGGCUGCUAAUCAGCCACAUCCGCCCAGAAAAAAUUCAAAAUAGCAAACCCGUCGCCGGAUCAAUAGACAAAUCAACCGCACUACAAAAUAGGCAGCCCCGUGAUUUCACCACCUCACAAACAAAUGAACCAAAAGGACAAGGAGAUGGAACAAGGAUGAGGAACAAAUGAGGAUGAACAAUGACACGAACCCCAUGGCCCUGUCGCCCCGAACUAAGCAGUCGACGUGUAGGCGCGAGGAAGGCGAACUCCCAUGGUCUGACCACGGGAUUGAGGCGAACAAAUCGAGCCUGCCAAAUCGACCCCCUCUCAAAAACCACUCAAUUUGCCACCCCCAAAUCGCCACAUCUCUGGAACCAUAUCCAAAACCACGAUGACCCACACAUGAAAUUGGACACAAAUCGAUGAAUCACGCACACAAAUCAAAACGCAUGCACGACAUUCCUGCUCUCAAAACCCUCGAAAUCACCCGAAACAACACAGGCAGAACCCUAGCGGGCGAUGAAAUCACGACAAAAAUGCGCGACGGAGCCAAUACCUCAAAGCCAGCGAGCGCGCAGUGCAGAACGGCAGCGUCGUAAGGAUUCCCGUUGGCCGCCGCCGGCAAAAUAACGGGUGGCGGAGCAGCAGAGCGAGGAAGCGAACGAGACCACGGACAGGUUGGUGAAAAAUGGGAAGCAGUUUGGAGAGGCAAUAAAAGCAGAAAAAGUGGCACGGUUUGUGCACGGGCCCCACAAGUCAUCACGUGGACGUUAAUGGAUGUUCUAGUUUGAGUUUAACCAACCGCGCAUGACACAUUGAAACUUGCUCAGCGAGAAGUGGCGCGCACGGAAUAAAAAACGUCAGCUCAGAAAAAAAAUCCCACAUAAACAACCCGUGCUGUUCUCUCUCGGUUGAGGAGGGAUCAAACGAGGCGGCGGCGGCCAUCCCCGCCGGGUAUGGCGACGGCGCUCGCCCCAGCAGGUGAGGCGGCGACGACCAUCCCCAACGGGCGCGGCGGCGGCGGCCAUCCCCAGCGGGCGGUGGCGACGUCCUCCCCCCGCAGGCGCAGAUGCGACGCUCUCCCACACGGCAAGCGAGUCGGCGACGUUCUCCCCCGUCGUGCGAGGCGGCGGCGGCCAUCCCCGGCUAGCGGCGCAGCGGCAAUACCAAGACCUGAUGCAUAAUUCGAUCGGAGGGGGGGAUGUGCACUGUGUGGAAUGUGCUGGGCGUGGUGUAGCAGAAAAAAAAGGAAUUAAGAAAAAACCUACAACAUGAAAAGGGUAAUGUCAUGGCAUUAUUAUCACUGCUCUUGAUGAGGUACAAUUGUCAGUGAAACAUUAUUCUUUGCCAUAGGCCGUUUACAUUAAUUUGCAUGGGCACCAUUGUAGCUUUAGUGUGGGCACCAUUGUAUAUUUUUUCUACUGUUAUAUAUUGGAUGGUAGAUUGAAAAUAUGCAUGGAGAAACAUUGUAGCUUGCCAUUGUAGUACCAUUGCCAUCAGAUGCAAAGACAGACAAAGUGAACAAUUUUGAUAAUUACCAAUCUUGUUAUAACACACCCAACCUUUUUUAUUUCUAUUUUGAGAUUUAUCCUCCACCAAAGAAGGAAGUUGUACAUCGAUUAGAGAGAAUUUCCCUAAAUGGGAAACAUUGGAAUGAUCUUGUGGGUAAAAAUAUCACUACGGUGAAGCACUUGCUGUGUCAUUAUGAUAGAGAUAAAUCAUGUCUCUAAAAGGUAAAUAUGCAGUUGUUAUUGUGUUUCUACAGUCUGCAGCAUUUCAAAUUACAUGCAAUAGAUAUUAGUUAAUCAUUGUCAUGUAAUGCUAUGUGUAUUUGCGCAAGUCUGUUUGCAAUUAAUCUACCUUAGCCUCAGAAUUCUUAAUAAAGUCAGUACUUAUGAUUUCAGGAAACAAACAGGGUAGAUCAAAGUCCAGGAAUCUUGCUGCCAAAUUAAAAGCAAAGCUCAAGGGUGAGCUACAAAAUGACACCACCAAACGUAUAGGACCUCAUACAGAGGAGAUAUCCACUAAAGGAGAUCAAUGAUAAAGGAGGCAAACAAAAACCUGCUUCUGUGGGGGACAAGGUUGGUUGAUCAAGUUGCUCGAGAGGUCUUUGAAGCUGCUCGGGGCUGGAACACUAUGCGUAGAAGAAUUGCUGGCUGACAAAAAAAGAUCGUCUGCAGUCGCUGCUUGGGAAGCUGGAAUGGAAGGAAUCUCUGAUGCCGAUUCUGUGCUGGUGUCAAGGAUUUGUUUGCUGUGAUACUCUGUUUGGCGAUGACUAGUUUCUGGUCCUGUUAGCAUCAGUUGUCUUAAGCUGCUUGCUCCCAGUUAGGGGCUGUUCUUUUAGCUCUGUCGCUUAGAUAUUGCUCUUGCUUGAAAGUGGCCUCGUCUCUGAAUGGAGAUGAGUGUAAAUAUUUCGCUGAAUCUUGUAACACACUGGUUUCAAUAAUGGAAGCCGGAGAGGGCAAGCCUCUCUUUUUCAAAAAUAAAAUAAAAACUAUAUUAGCUCUGGA
Brachypodium distachyon (stiff brome) is the source of this 8693-nucleotide RNA transcript. It is a transcript of the gene named skin secretory protein xP2-like, with no coding region annotated. The transcript is spliced from 4 exons. The record is from RefSeq and is a predicted model, not a curated record. Lineage: Eukaryota; Viridiplantae; Streptophyta; Magnoliopsida; Poales; Poaceae.